RNAcentral lists this transfer RNA (67 nucleotides) under Catillopecten margaritatus. RNAcentral describes it as "Catillopecten sp. m YTL-2023 tRNA-Asn". The record is from RNAcentral. Lineage: Eukaryota; Metazoa; Mollusca; Bivalvia; Pectinida; Propeamussiidae.
GGGGUUCUAGUUUAAAAAAAAUAUUUUGUUGUUAGCAGAAGGAUACGAAUUAAGUUCUUGUGCCCCG